This 465-nucleotide ribosomal RNA is filed under the name uncultured bacterium. RNAcentral describes it as "partial 16S ribosomal RNA". It matches the Rfam family "Bacterial small subunit ribosomal RNA", at positions 28 to 507 of the family's 1533-position model. The record is from RNAcentral.
GACGAACGCUGGCGGCGUGCUUAAUACAUGCAAGUCGAACGGAAAGGCCCUGCUUGCAGGGUACUCGUGUGGCGAACGGGUGAGUAACACGUGGGUGAUCUGCCCUGCUCUUCGGGAUAAGCCUGGUAAACUGGGUCUAAUUCCGGCUAGGUGCCAUUUUUAGUGUGAUGGUUGGAAAGUUUUUUCGGUGUAGGCUGAGCUCGCGGCCUAUCAGCUUGUUGGUGGAGUAAUGGCCUACCAAGGCGGCGUCGGGUAGCCGGCCUGAGAGGGUGGACGGCCACAUUGGGACUGAGGUACGGCCCAGACUGCGACGGGUGGCAACAGUGGGGAAUAUUGCAGGAUGGGCGCAAGCCGGAUGAUGCGAGGCCGCGUGGGGGAUGACGGCCUUCGGGUUGUAAACUCCAUUCGCUAGGGACGAAGCUUUUUGUGACGGUACCUAGAUAAAAAGCACCGGCUAACUACGUG